UACGAGGGGGGCAAGCGUUGUUCGGAAUUAUUGGGCGUAAAGGGUGCGUAGGCGGUCUGAUAAGUCAUCUGUGAAAUCUAUGGGCUCAACCCAUAGUCUGCAGGCGAAACUGUCGGGCUUGAGUAUGGGAGAGGUGAGUGGAAUUUCCGGUGUAGCGGUGAAAUGCGUAGAUAUCGGAAGGAACACCUGUGGCGAAAGCGGCACACUGGACCAUUACUGACGCUGAUGCACGAAAGCUAGGGGAGCAAACAGG
This 253-nucleotide ribosomal RNA is filed under the name uncultured bacterium. RNAcentral describes it as "partial 16S ribosomal RNA". It matches the Rfam family "Bacterial small subunit ribosomal RNA", at positions 524 to 776 of the family's 1533-position model. The record is from RNAcentral.